This 1550-nucleotide long non-coding RNA is filed under the name Canis lupus familiaris (dog). Its description in RNAcentral is "lncRNA (ENSCAFG00030018511.1)". The record is from RNAcentral. Lineage: Eukaryota; Metazoa; Chordata; Mammalia; Carnivora; Canidae.
UUCUCGGGCAGGUGUGUCAUUUCUGGCCCCGCACUGGGGGAGCUCCCUCUUCGUCCCCUGUCCUCCCAGAGGGAGCCUGUGGCUCGGCUCAGCCCUGCCCCCUCUGCCGGGCCUUUGACAGCAUCACCCCCCGAGCUUCUGGUCCUUUCAGCCAGCAGGUCUCACUGUGCUCCCGCCUCUGGGCAGCGCUCUGGUCCUGGGGGGCCCGGGCGUGGCCCGACCUGGUCAGGGGGUCCCGACGGCUGGAGGGGCCGCUCCCUCCCCGGCCCCUUCUCCAGGGUGAGGCCGCCCCUGGGGUUCUGGUCACCUCGGGUGCCCUGGGGUGGCCCCACUGCAGGGUUGGCUGUUAUGGUCAGUUUGGCUGAAAGGGGCUCCCGAGGAUGAGGACGAGGGCGGGCAGCUCAGGAGUCACCUGGCCCAGGCCUGGCCGCACCCGACGGGGUCCUGCCGGCUGCUCUGCCUCGGUCGGAAGCAAUCCCGGGGCAGAGUGUCCUCGUCCUGUCCACGACCGUAAACCCCCACGUCGCGACACACACGUCCCCCCAAACCACGCGCACCACACCCCCGUGACUCGCACUCUGCAGCGCCCGCGCCCCCCGCGCCCGCCGCCCCGGCCGCGCCGUCCUCUCCGCUCUGUGACGCCCGACGGUCAGCCAACCCCCCGGCCCCGCUGGUCCCAUCUGCGAAAUGGCAGCGCAGCGCCUUCCUGCAGUCGUGGGGAGACCCGCCCACCCCGGCAGGGCCGGCCCGGGGCCCCCGUGUGGGACUCCCCAAGUGUCACCAUAGCUGCUGCCCCCCGGCCUAGGCCUCUCCGUCCCCUGCUGGGCACCCCGGGUCCACCGGGCUCGUCCCUGGAACUGGAUUAGGUCAAGCGCCUGCCCCAAGCACCUUCCCCUGCGCGGCUUCCUAGCGCCGUGGACGCUGAUGGCGUCUGGUGCUUAAGCGGAGGUCAGAACCGCCCGGAACGCAACAACGUGGGGCUGUGACCGAGUCCUGGGGAGGAGGCAAGUGGCCCUGGCUGCGGCACGGGGUCAAACAGGACAAACCCGGUCAAACCCUUUGGCUCCGUUGUUUGCUAAGAAAACACACACAAGACAGAACCACAUGAGCCUUCCCGUCUUUUAUAAAUUUUUUUAUUUCUAUUCAUUUAUUCACAAGAGACAGAAAGAGAGAGAGAGAGAGAGAAGCAGAGACACAGGCAGAGGGAGAAGCAGGCUCCACGCAGGGAGCCCGACGCAGGACUCGAUCCCAGGACCCCAGGGUCGCGCCCGGAGCCCAAGGCAGACGCCCCACCGCUGAGCCCCUGGGCGCCCCUAUCCUUUCCUCUUAAAGACUCACUUCCUACAGGAAGCCCUCCUCGACCUUCCAAGCUCGUCUCAGGCUUCCGUUUGUUGGUUUUCCUGCAGCCGGCAGCACAGCCGCCGCCCUGGAGUGGCUUCAGCUGCGAAGCCGUCACUCACAGCCAUUGGAGGGCCAACUCCUGUGAGUAAUUUGCCUUUUUAAAAAAAGAUCAAGCGGAGCGGAUUGAAUGUUCCCUCUCUAAUAAGGUC